This 212-nucleotide unclassified non-coding RNA is filed under the name plant metagenome. RNAcentral describes it as "partial contains small subunit ribosomal RNA, internal transcribed spacer 1, and 5.8S ribosomal RNA". The record is from RNAcentral.
UUUCCGUAGGUGAACCUGCGGAAGGAUCAUUCAUAAUAAGUGUUUUAUGGCACUUUUUAAAUCCAUAUCCACCUUGUGUGCAAUGUCAGGGUUGAUUUUUCUCUCGAGAGGAUCAGCCCCAAACAUCAACUAUAUCUCAACUCUUUGUCUGAAAAAUAUUAUGAAUAAAACAAUUCAAAAUACAACUUUCAACAACGGAUCUCUUGGCUCUC